This is an RNA transcript of Mauremys reevesii (Reeves's turtle), 918 nucleotides long. It is a transcript of the gene named electron transfer flavoprotein regulatory factor 1, with no coding region annotated. Lineage: Eukaryota; Metazoa; Chordata; Testudines; Geoemydidae. The transcript is spliced from 6 exons. The record is from RefSeq and is a predicted model, not a curated record.
CCAUCCUCGCGCAGCCGCAGUAGACUUCGCACACGCGGCCGCCCCGGGGGUGGUGACUCGCUCGUGACUUUCUCGCGCUGUGGGAGGGGCUGCUAAGCCGGGGCGGGGAUCGGCGGCGCUUUACGGCCGGCAGGAGAUGCCGCAAAGCGUGCGCGGCUGGCUUUGCGGCAGGGCAGGUGGUGAGGGUGAUUAGAUUGCUUGUGAAAGGUGCCUGACAACUGAGGAGACUGGAGUCCUCGCUCCACAGGAAAGGUAGAGGCGGCAGCAGCAGUGCAAACACCCCACCAAUGGGCUUCAACUUCAUCCUGGAGGCACUAGCUCAGUUGAGAAGAGGGUAAAUAAUCACAAGAAUUAAGUGGCUAUGUUCAAUGAAAUAUGAAAAAUGGCUAAUCCUUUAAGAGGUGAAGUGCUGAAUCUUUACAAAAAUCUGCUGUACCUUGGAAGGGAAUAUCCCAAAGGAGCAGACUACUUUAGAAGCCGUUUGAAGGCAGCUUUCCUAAAAAAUAAGGAUGUGAAAGAUCCAGAAAAAAUUAAGCAACUAAUUAGUCGUGGAGAAUUUGUUAUAAAAGAGCUAGAGGCCUUGUAUUAUCUCAGAAAGUACAGGGCUAUGAAACAGCGCUACUAUGAGGACGACAAUAAGAAUAAGUGAUGUGUAAUAUUGUUGACCCUGUGCUUGUAACAAUGCAGGUGUUUCGGUUCUAUAAAUAUAGCAACACACACACACGUUGUCACUCAGCAAUCUUCACUGGUUUUGGAAACCUUUUCAAUUUUGGAAGUUGCCAGAUCAAAUCUCAAACAGUUCGGAGAAUAUUUACAUUCUACUGGUUUUCGUUCUGCUGUAAAUUCUGUUUAACGCAUCUACUGGCUGAUAAUUGGGCACAUUGUAUUAAGACUCUUUUAAAGGUGAAAAGAAAAUAA